This 812-nucleotide ribosomal RNA is filed under the name uncultured Acinetobacter sp. RNAcentral describes it as "bacterial SSU rRNA". It matches the Rfam family "Bacterial small subunit ribosomal RNA", at positions 58 to 864 of the family's 1533-position model. The record is from RNAcentral. Lineage: Bacteria; Pseudomonadati; Pseudomonadota; Gammaproteobacteria; Moraxellales; Moraxellaceae.
CAAGUCGAGCGGGGAAAGGUAGCUUGCUACCUGACCUAGCGGCGGACGGGUGAGUAAUGCUUAGGAAUCUGCCUAUUAGUGGGGGACAACAUUCCGAAAGGAAUGCUAAUACCGCAUACGUCCUACGGGGGAAAGCAGGGGAUCUUCGGACCUUGCGCUAAUAGAUGAGCCUAAGUCGGAUUAGCUAGUUGGUGGGGUAAAGGCCUACCAAGGCGACGAUCUGUAGCGGGUCUGAGAGGAUGAUCCGCCACACUGGGACUGAGACACGGCCCAGACUCCUACGGGAGGCAGCAGUGGGGAAUAUUGGACAAUGGGCGCAAGCCUGAUCCAGCCAUGCCGCGUGUGUGAAGAAGGCCUUUUGGUUGUAAAGCACUUUAAGCGAGGAGGAGGCUCCUUUAGUUAAUACCUAAAGUGAGUGGACGUUACUCGCAGAAUAAGCACCGGCUAACUCUGUGCCAGCAGCCGCGGUAAUACAGAGGGUGCGAGCGUUAAUCGGAUUUACUGGGCGUAAAGCGUGCGUAGGCGGCUUUUUAAGUCGGAUGUGAAAUCCCUGAGCUUAACUUAGGAAUUGCAUUCGAUACUGGAGAGCUAGAGUAUGGGAGAGGAUGGUAGAAUUCCAGGUGUAGCGGUGAAAUGCGUAGAGAUCUGGAGGAAUACCGAUGGCGAAGGCAGCCAUCUGGCCUAAUACUGACGCUGAGGUACGAAAGCAUGGGGAGCAAACAGGAUUAGAUACCCUGGUAGUCCAUGCCGUAAACGAUGUCUACUAGCCGUUGGGGCCUUUGAGGCUUUAGUGGCGCAGCUAACGCGAUAAG